CACAGGCAGCUCUAGUGGUAACAAUUUUUAUUGGGCCUAAAGCGUCCGUAGCCGGUUUAAUAAGUCUCUGGUGAAAUCCUGCAGCUUAACUGUGGGAAUUGCUGGAGAUACUAUUAGGCUUGAGACCGGGAGAGGUUAGAGGUACUCCCAGGGUAGAGGUGAAAUUCUGUAAUCCUGGGAGGACCGCCUGUUGCGAAGGCGUCUAACUGGAACGGUUCUGACGGUGAGGGACGAAAGUUAGGGGCGCGAACCGGAUUAGAUACCCCGGUAGUCCCUGAGCGGGCUGGCAA
RNAcentral lists this ribosomal RNA (290 nucleotides) under uncultured prokaryote. Its description in RNAcentral is "partial 16S ribosomal RNA". It matches the Rfam family "Archaeal small subunit ribosomal RNA", at positions 474 to 766 of the family's 1478-position model. The record is from RNAcentral.